This is a long non-coding RNA of Sinocyclocheilus rhinocerous, 315 nucleotides long. RefSeq lists it as uncharacterized. The record is from RefSeq and is a predicted model, not a curated record. The transcript is spliced from 3 exons. NCBI's taxonomy places the organism in Eukaryota, Metazoa, Chordata, Actinopteri, Cypriniformes, Cyprinidae.
CACCUUCCCUCAGAGUUAGGUUUCAUUUCACUGCAGACCACCACUGCAACACUUCUCCAGACUGAAAGCGAGUCAUGGCAGGACAAACUACUACUACUAUUGUGACAACCCAGCAUGUCUCCUCUGGUACCUGGACUACAGGCAUCUGUGACUGCUGUUCUGAUAUGAGCACUUGUUGUUGUGCCCUUUGUUGUUUCCCCUGUAUGCAGUGUCAGACUGUAUCUCAGUUUGGCUGGUGUUUCUGCAUGCCAUUGCUGGACUGCUGCAUGGUGGUAUCUUGCUGUCUGCGUCAGAAGAUGAGAGAGCAAUAUAACA